Molecule: unclassified non-coding RNA, 1075 nt
Filed under: Hevea brasiliensis (rubber tree)
Lineage: Eukaryota; Viridiplantae; Streptophyta; Magnoliopsida; Malpighiales; Euphorbiaceae
Source: RNAcentral
AAUAGGUGCAACAGUAAACAGGAAAGACAGCCUUAACAUGUCAUUAGAGAAAAUAUCCCCAUACACAAGAAAAUAACAAGGAAGAUAUUACUCUCAUCCAAAAAACAGCAAGGUAUGCAUUAGAGACCAGAUUGACAAAGGUAAAGGGAAACUAGUGGAAUCUACACCAAUUCCCCCUAGAAACAUUGUGCCCGCAGCAUCGCCUUACAAAGCGGUAGGCUCUUCUAAUUCAUCUAUAGCUCCAGCUGGAAGAUUUAUCAGAAAAACAGCCAGUGAAGAGCCUGCUUCCUUGACACUUGACUCUAGAGAUGCGAAAGAUUUGGCAAAAACCCUUGCACUUUCAUCACAGCUCGAGUAUGAAGAUGAGUAUGAUGACUCAUUUGAUGACUUAGGCCUAAGUAUUGGUGAUUCAGCAUUUGAGGAAACUGAGAACCUCCAAGACAAGACAAACUUCAACCGUGGGAGAAGUUCUGAAGCUGAUAAUGGUAGCUCAGCUUCCAACGCUUCUAAAUGGGGAUCAAGAAAGAUGCCACAGUUUUACGUCAAAGACGGCAAGAACUAUAGUUACAAAGUUGAGGGUGCUGUUGCAGUGGCUAAUUACAAUGAAGCUUCUUUAGUAAAUCAAGCUCAAAAGGAGAUGAUACAUGGGUUGGGACGAGGUGGUAAUCUUCCUUUGGGUGCAGUUAAAUGGCUGACCGAGCCAAACGAGGAGAAAGACGACGAGCCAGAAUCAAAUGAAAUGGGUGGAAGGGGCAGAGGUCGAGGGUUCUACAGAGGAGGAAGAGGUGGGAGAAGAAGAGACUCAAACGAGGAGAAAGACAUCGAGCCCGGAUCAAAUGAAAUGGGUGGAAGAGGGGGAGGUCGAGGGUUCUUCAGAGGAGGGAGAGGUGGGAGAAGAGGGGGAGAUUCAAACGGGGAGAAAGACAAUGAGCCGGAAUCAGAUGAGAUGGAUGGAAGCGGGGGAGGUCGAGGGUUCAGAGGAGGGAGAGGUGGGAGAAGAGGGGGAGAUUCAAACGGGGAGAAAGACAAUGAGCCGGAAUCAGAUGAGAUGGAUGGAAGCGGGGGAGGUCGAGGG